Molecule: ribosomal RNA, 486 nt
Filed under: uncultured bacterium
Lineage: Bacteria
Description: partial 16S ribosomal RNA
Rfam family: Bacterial small subunit ribosomal RNA
Source: RNAcentral
GAUGAACGCUGGCGGCGUGCCUAACACAUGCAAGUCGAACGGAGAUUACGUACGGAAGUUUUCGGAUGGAAGACUGUAAUUCUUAGUGGCGGACGGGUGAGUAACGCGUGGGCAACCUGCCCUAUACAGGGGGAUAGCAGCUGGAAACGGCUGGUAAGACCGCAUAAGUCGGCGAGACCGCAUGGUUUUCCCGGGGAAUGAGCAAUCAGGUAUAGGAUGGACCCGCGUCCGAUUAGCCAGUUGGUGGGGUAAAAGCCUACCAAAGCAACGAUGGGUAGCCGGCCGGAGGGGGUGACCGGCGACAUUGGGACUGAGAUACGGCGCAGACUCCUACGGGAGGCAGCAGUGGGGAAUAGUGUACAAGGGGAGGAAGCCGGAUGCAGCAACGCCGCGUGCGGGAUGACGGCCUUCGGGUAGUAAACCGCUAACGCCAGUGACGAAGCGUGAGGGAGGGGAAUGGGUAAAGAGGCACCGACUAGGUACGAG